GCCCUUGUGGCCUAAUUGGUUAAGGUGUUAUCCUCCGGAGAUAAUGAUUGCGGGUUCGAGUCCCGCCUCGGGCU
This is a transfer RNA of Scheffersomyces stipitis CBS 6054, 74 nucleotides long. It matches the Rfam family "tRNA". Rfam says of the family: Transfer RNA (tRNA) molecules are approximately 80 nucleotides in length. Their secondary structure includes four short double-helical elements and three loops (D, anti-codon, and T loops). The record is from Rfam. Lineage: Eukaryota; Fungi; Ascomycota; Pichiomycetes; Serinales; Debaryomycetaceae.